This 539-nucleotide transfer RNA is filed under the name uncultured Prochlorococcus sp. RNAcentral describes it as "partial 16S-23S ribosomal RNA intergenic spacer". The stretch from base 211 to 283 matches the Rfam family "tRNA". The record is from RNAcentral. Lineage: Bacteria; Bacillati; Cyanobacteriota; Cyanophyceae; Synechococcales; Prochlorococcaceae.
CAGGGAGACAACAAAAUGUUUAUAUUAUUAUUUUGUCACCUUAGGUCGAUCGGUAUCUCACAUUCUUAAUCAAUUAAGAAUUUCAUUUCCUAAGUUUUUCUAGGUCACACCCAUUAUUUUUCCUGGGCCAUUAGCUCAGGUGGUUAGAGCGCACCCCUGAUAAGGGUGAGGUCCCUGGUUCAAGUCCAGGAUGGCCCAUAUCUCUAUGUUGGGGGUAUAGCUCAGUUGGUAGAGCGCCUGCUUUGCAAGCAGGAUGUCAGCGGUUCGAGUCCGCUUACCUCCACUGAUUACCACCUCUUCCAUAAUCUGUAGAAAGGAAAUUUUUUGAGUUGUGAUCAAAUUCUGAACGAAUCUAGCUUCCUAAUGAAAGUAUUAAGAUGCUGGACUCAUUGAAUUAAUUUCAUUGUUUUCAGAGAACCUUGACAACUGCAUAGAUUAUUUUUAAAGACAAUAAGCAUCUUUAAUGAUGCAGAUUUAUUAUUUGUGCGAAUGCAUUAAUAACAAUUCUAUUAAGCUGAUGCUUCAAUUUUGAAGUUAUU